This 548-nucleotide ribosomal RNA is filed under the name Microdipodops pallidus (pale kangaroo mouse). RNAcentral's name for it is "partial 16S ribosomal RNA". It matches the Rfam family "Bacterial large subunit ribosomal RNA", at positions 1848 to 2605 of the family's 2925-position model. The record is from RNAcentral. Lineage: Eukaryota; Metazoa; Chordata; Mammalia; Rodentia; Heteromyidae.
AGAGGCACCGCCUGCCCAGUGACAAUUAAGUUAAACGGCCGCGGUAUCCUGACCGUGCAAAGGUAGCAUAAUCAUUUGUUCCUUAAUUAGGGACUUGUAUGAAUGGCAUCACGAGGGUUUAACUGUCUCUUACAUUUAAUCAAUGAAAUUGACCUUUCCGUGAAGAGGCGGAAAUUACAAAAUAAGACGAGAAGACCCUAUGGAGCUUAAAUUAAUACUCUCAGUUCUUGCACUACACACAAACUCUACUAGACAUAACUAAAUAAGAAUAAUUGAGGUAAAAAUUUUGGUUGGGGUGACCUCGGAGCACAAAACAACCUCCGAAAGACUACUAUAAAGACCUACUAGUCGAUAUUACCCAAGUCUAAACAUUGACCCAGAAUUAAUCUGACCAAUGGACCAAGUUACCCUAGGGAUAACAGCGCAAUCCUAUUAAAGAGUCCAUAUCGAUAAUUAGGGUUUACGACCUCGAUGUUGGAUCAGGACAUCCCAAUGGUGCAGCAGCUAUUAAAGGUUCGUUUGUUCAACGAUUAAAGUCCUACGUGAUC